CCUACGGGAGGCAGCAGUGGGGAAUAUUGGACAAUGGGCGCAAGCCUGAUCCAGCAAUACCGCGUGUGUGAAGAAGGCCUUCGGGUUGUAAAGCACUUUUAUGUAGGAAGAAGUGUUGUGUGUUAAUAGCACAUGGCAUUGACGGUACUACAAGAAUAAGCACCGGCUAACUCCGUGCCAGCAGCCGCGGUAAU
RNAcentral lists this ribosomal RNA (194 nucleotides) under uncultured bacterium. Its description in RNAcentral is "partial 16S ribosomal RNA". It matches the Rfam family "Bacterial small subunit ribosomal RNA", at positions 338 to 524 of the family's 1533-position model. The record is from RNAcentral.